Molecule: transfer RNA, 72 nt
Filed under: Cavia porcellus (domestic guinea pig)
Lineage: Eukaryota; Metazoa; Chordata; Mammalia; Rodentia; Caviidae
Rfam family: tRNA
About the family: Transfer RNA (tRNA) molecules are approximately 80 nucleotides in length.
Source: Rfam by way of RNAcentral
UGGAAUGUAGCUUAGCGGUAGAGUACUUGCUUAACAUGUGCAAGUCCCUGGGUUCAAUCCCCAGCAUUACAA